This 467-nucleotide long non-coding RNA is filed under the name Orbicella faveolata. RNAcentral describes it as "uncharacterized LOC110046263, transcript variant X1". Lineage: Eukaryota; Metazoa; Cnidaria; Anthozoa; Scleractinia; Merulinidae. The record is from RNAcentral.
CAGAGACACGGUUUUACUUCAUAAAAGAACGUGGAUCCAAAUAUGAGAGUCAAGCUCACUGGUGGGACCCUAGGACAUGGCCUCAGUCCUAUGUAUCUGAGAGACAGGAUGGACCACUGAAAGUCUGUUAGAUUGGGGACAGUUUCUUGAGCUUACAGUGCCAGGUUUGGUGAUGACAUGUAUUGACUGGUGGAGUUUUGAAGCUGGCUCCUUUUUAACAGGUAUAGUUAAACCCUAGCUUCACUAGGACAUUUGGUUGGCUGAGGGAAUAGUUGAAGUGCAUUUGGUAUUUUAUUUAAAAAUUAUAUUUAUAUUUUUAUUAGUAAUAAAAAUAAAUCCGGGGGAGCUGCUCAAAUUCACACUUUCCCCUCAAAAUGAAGUGUGCCUUGUUUUGUUGCCAUGUACAUUUGGUUCCACCGAUGUAAGCAGCCAGGUCUUAUUGUACCUUAUAUGCACUGCACAUGUGU